UUAUUUUGUAAAUGUGUCAUAAGUAUAUAAGAUUUAUUACAAGAAACAUAAUCAAAAUAAAGCUGUUCAGUCGUAUUCAUAGAUUUGGAAGCAAUAUGUCUAAGUUUACGGUAAUUUUGGCUCUCAUUGCGUUGAUCGCAUUAGUGUCAGCGCGUCCACAAGUGGAUGUUGUUGACCAAGACCCUGGAUCAGUGGACGUUGUUGACCAAGACCCAGGCUCAGUUAACGUUAUCGGUGGAGGUGAACAAGUAAACAUCGUCGACAAUGAUAACCAAGGUUUAGCACGGUCCUCGUAGAAGACAGUAAAAUUUAAUCUAUAAUUAAUAUUUUUUAAUAUUAUAUUCUAUGUAAUUACAAUAUAUUUUCAUGUAUAUAUUCUA
This is a long non-coding RNA of Papilio xuthus (Asian swallowtail), 380 nucleotides long. RefSeq lists it as uncharacterized. The transcript is spliced from 7 exons. NCBI's taxonomy places the organism in Eukaryota, Metazoa, Arthropoda, Insecta, Lepidoptera, Papilionidae. The record is from RefSeq and is a predicted model, not a curated record.